Molecule: long non-coding RNA, 1076 nt
Filed under: Homo sapiens (human)
Lineage: Eukaryota; Metazoa; Chordata; Mammalia; Primates; Hominidae
Description: HSALNT0359538
Source: RNAcentral
CCAAGAUUGGGCCACUGCACUCCAGUCUGGGUGAUAGAGUGAGACCCUAUCUCAAAGAAAAAAAAGUAGGCAAGGAACUUUAUUGGUGAUAUUCUUCACAAACCCUCAGCAGUUUCCUGCACCUGCAACUCCUCAGGUACUAUAGUCAUGUUUUCUUGUAUUCCAGUGUCUGGAAUUUAUUCCUUCUGGUGGAUUCUUGGUCUUGCUGACUUCAAGAAUGAAGCCGCGGACACUCGCGAAAUCCUUGCUCUGAUCUGCCUGACUUCAGAGUGUAAACUCUUAAAUACACAGUCUGCUGCUUCUCCAGAUCAAGAUGCUGUCAUCUCCCUGCUCUGCUAUGUCUUCAUUCCUCACAGUACCUGAACACAAAGCUGUGGUGUUAUCAGACUUUAACUGAAGGUUUGGGGUCCCGAAGAGGAUUAUAACAUAGCACAAAACUCAAAAUUGAACAUUGAUGAUGUCAUUAUGAAUAUCCAAAAGUUCCCUGACCAAACUCAUUUUAAGGACUGCGGUAAUUUAAAAGUAUGUCUACAAAUUAGUUGAUACUUCUUUAUUCAAAAGGUGGAGCCGAAUUCCCCUCCCCUUGAAUGUGGACUAGGAGUUAGUGACUCACUUUCAACAAAUAAUGUGUGGCAGAAGUGAAGAUAUUUGACUUCUGAGGCUAGGUCAUACAAAGGAUAAAGUUUCUACCUGGCUCGUUCUCUUUAGGAUCACCCUGGGGGAAGCCAGCUACCAUGUAAUGAAGGUACUCAAGCAGCCCUGGGAAAGAACCAUGUGAAAAGAAACUGGGGCCUCCCACCAAUAGCCAGCAUCAACUUGCCAGCCAUGCAUGCCAUCUUGGAAAGAUAUCUCCUAGUUCCAGCUAAGACUUUAGCCGCCUAUAACCCCAGCUGACAUCUUGUUUGCAACCUCAUGAGAAGAUCCUUAGUUGAGGGGCAACCAAACUCCUGACCCACAGAAAUUGUGAGAGAUAAUAAUGCUUAUUGCUAUUUUAAGCUGCAAAGUUUUGGAGUAAUUUGCUAUGUAGCAACAGAUAAGUAAUACAGAGAGUCUCUCAUGGGCCGUUUUCUUCCGUC